Molecule: ribosomal RNA, 256 nt
Filed under: uncultured bacterium
Lineage: Bacteria
Description: partial 16S ribosomal RNA
Rfam family: Bacterial small subunit ribosomal RNA
Source: RNAcentral
UACGGGGGGGGACGAGUGUUACUCAUAGUGACUGGGCGUAAAGGGUACGUAGGCGGCACUUUAAAUUUCAAUGCAAGGUCCAUGGCGCAACCGUGGUGAUUUGUAACACUGUAGUGCUUGAGUUUGGCAGAGGUUGGCGGUACUCUUUGGGGGUAGGAUUGAAAAACCGCAAAACCCAAGGGGACUCACAAUGGCGAAGGCAGCUAACCGGGCUCUAACUGACGCUGAGGUACGGAGGCAUGGGGGAUCGAACAGG